Molecule: ribosomal RNA, 117 nt
Filed under: Sinocyclocheilus rhinocerous
Lineage: Eukaryota; Metazoa; Chordata; Actinopteri; Cypriniformes; Cyprinidae
Source: RNAcentral
GCCGGCAGCCAUAUCACCCUGUAGCCCAAGACUGGUUGCCCACUGAAGCUAAGCAGGGUUGAGCCUGGUCAGUACCUGGAUGGGAGACCUCCUGGGAAAACUAGGUUGCUGCUGGAA